Molecule: long non-coding RNA, 2731 nt
Filed under: Homo sapiens (human)
Lineage: Eukaryota; Metazoa; Chordata; Mammalia; Primates; Hominidae
Description: HSALNT0394215
Source: RNAcentral
CCUAGAAAGUAAUCCCUGCUGCCCUUUCGCUGGCCCAGGAAGGGGUAAAUCACAGAUCAGUGUCAGAGGUGCGAUGAAAACCCAGGAGUUCUGAUUCCUGGGUCACCAUGCUCCCUUUGCCAAGGGUGGAGCCGACACCAACAGACUCUUAGCUCCUGUGCCCUGUGCAUCCUGGUGUUCGUGCACGUGCUGCACGGAAGAGCUGCAUCCUGGGACAAUUUUAUGGCUGAUGAGAACAUAUCCUGAUCCACUCCACAUUUCAGUGUAACCUUGCAGUAUACCUGUAACACUGGAGGCACACAUCUCUUCCCUAGCAGCCCUUAAGAACCUGAAUGGUAGAGAGAGGGAGGAUCACAAAAGUUUGCUUCCAGCUCUAUACUCACCCACAGCCUGCAGACAGAUCAUCAGAAAAUUCAACUUUCAAGUGAGGAUCAUAAGCCAGAGAGUGCAGGACUCCACACCAGGGCAGAUGACCUGUGGAUUCCAGAAGCUCUCAGGAAUUUUGCAGAUUUCUCAAGGGCAACCCUGUCCAUAGAACGGGGAAAAGAACAAGCCCAUGCCUCCAAAGAGAAACUUCACAGUUCGCCUAAGUUUAACCUCUAGUGAUUCAUUCUCUUGUGUGUGGGGGCCUUCUGAUCUCUGGGAGCUCCCUCAAAGGCAAACUCCCAUGCAGAGGGCAUUUCUGAGGACUGAAAUCCAGGUGAUAAUAGUAACUACUGCUUUUUUAGCAUUUAGUGCUAACUUUGGCAUUUGGGCAACCAUCAAACACUCUCUUCCAUCAUCUCGCCCCUCCACCCACAGCCCUGUGUUAUCAAUCCCCUUUCCCAGCCAACCUGGGGACAAGUUGACUUGUCAUCACCAUCUGUACCUCCCCACUUUACACUCUCUCCACAGUCCACUCCACUAGGGCAUUGGCUGCACAUGUCACCAAAACCACUCUUGUCAGUGUCACCAAAAACUCCCAUGUUGCAAGAUACAAAGGCCAUUUUUCGGUCUCUUGUACUGAGCCUCUCCUAGAAGCAUAAGGUCCCUGGGCUUCCUUGGCACCUCCUCCGCCAGCAUCUUCUCCUCUUUUUGGCUGCUCCUGCCAUAGUUCACCCACUGCCCUCUCCUUCUACCACUCUGUCGAGUACUGGUGCACCCCAGGGCUCAGUCCUAAGCCCCAUUCUUCCCUCUAUCCAUGUGUGCUCCUGCAGUCCCAUGGUUUACACACCAUGCAUUUACCAAUGCCUUUAUAUAGUUCUCCCACCCAAACCUCUCCCUGAGCUCCAGCCAGAAUCACAUAUACAACUGCCUACCUGACCUCCCCACUCAGAUAUAUUACAGAUCACUCGGCUAGUAGCUGGCUAAGGCAGGACAUAAACUCAACUUCAGGUAGAUCUGAUCUCAAGGCCUGCAUUCUUAAUGACUCCUGGACUAGAAUCCAAGGAGACAGCUAUAAACUCUCUGAGAGAAGAGGCAUCUCCACUCCAAAGAUCUACCCAAUGGCCUAGGACAGACUUAUUCCAUCACUUCUCAUGCUGUGAGAAAUCUGUCAUUGUGGGAUUUCCCCACUUAAGUAUAACUAGGUGGUUACCUUUCCUGCAAUUUUCAAACAGGGCAGAUAUGUUAGGGGUAACAUGGACCCACAAACACCUGGUAUGUCUGUGUCUUCCCAGAGUGUAAACUCUGCUCAAACAUGGACACAGAAAGGCAGACAGCAGGAGAAAUCAUUUUCCUACAAAGAGAAAACAGAUGUGUCUUGGAAGAGAAAAUGAGAUACAACUUUUUGUAAUUUAAAAAACAAGACUUCAAACUUCAGGUGGACACCUUAGCCUUCUGCCACAGAUUCAAAGGAUAUAAAGUAGAACUACAAAGAGCUUAAGUCCUGACUCCUAGAAGCUUGUUUCUAAUAUCUGCCUCCAUUAGCCUUCGUCUUAAACCAGGAAGGUGGUAUGAACACUCAACAAACCGUCAGUGUACUUUGGAAGAGGUGGGAUAAAAGUGGACAUUUUUGCCUUGCCUCUGAUGUCUUUAGCGAAGCCAAAUAAAUCUGGAAAGAAAAAUUAAAUAUUUCCCUGAAACCUCACAGGAGAAAAAAAGAGAAAGGCUUUCAGAAGUCCCCAGAGAAACAAGAAAUGACUAUUUCCAAAACAAAGUUUGAUUUGAAAUUAUAAGAAGCUAGAGGUAGUUUUGAAAACCAGUGAACACUCAUGAACUUAAUCAGGCUUAGCAAAGCAGAGACAGAAAUGCAGAUUGGAAGUUGCCCCUGGAUAGCUUGGCCAGCAGAAUAAAACCCAGAGGCAGAAUCAAUUUUUUUUCUUUCAGAUUAAAGCCGCAGCAUCUCUCAGUUGAAGGCAGAGGUAUAAAGUCAAAGACUCCAGAAGUUCUUGGAAAAUGAUAAGUCAAUCUCUUGACAAAUGAUCCAGGGGCAACUUCGAAUUCCUGUUUCUAUCUCUACCUCUCUGAUUACUUUAACAAGCACUUUCUGAUUGGACCUUGGUAAUUCCAGCAAGCCAAGACUUUCCAUGGGACUUCACCUUACCCUCUUAGAUUACUGGCAACCUCGCAUCCCCUGAAUUCCUGUUCAGGGAGAAGAGCAAGUCCUUCCUUCAGGGACUGGAGAAUGACAACCUUCACAGAACCCAGAGCUAGAGACUGAGGACUCAGAAUGUAGACUGGGAAUAAGAGAACUACAGCCAGGGGCCAAAUCCCUCCAGCCACAACAACAACAAAAAAAAAAAAAAAAAAA